AAAGACAGGAAGUAAUUUCAGGUAUAAAUAGGAAGUUCCGGGUGAGAGGUGAAUCGGGAGGAAUUCGAGAGGAGAUAUUGCUGUGACAGCAGAGGAGGUAAUUCUUCUCUUUAAAGCCCAACUUGAGAUUUGAGUUCCACUCUCAAACUGUUCCUCUUGAUAUCGGUCACCUGGACAGAAAAUGUAAGGAAUUCUCCCCAACCAGAACACAGACACAGACUGGAUUCUACAGUCAAUCCAAACCUAAAAUAUCUGGUGAUCCAUAAGCCCCCAGCAGCUGUCUUCACAGGAUAUCAGCCAUCACAGUGUCCCAGUGUAUGCCAUGAUGGAGAAUCAGCCGCUUCUCACAUCACCGGAUGGAUCCAGUAAUGGGAACCCACCAGAGAGAUGUCCCCG
Rana temporaria (common frog) is the source of this 396-nucleotide long non-coding RNA. RefSeq lists it as uncharacterized. Lineage: Eukaryota; Metazoa; Chordata; Amphibia; Anura; Ranidae. The transcript has 3 exons. The record is from RefSeq and is a predicted model, not a curated record.